AACUCCUUAACACCCAUUUGAGGUUUUUUCAUAAGUAGUGGAAUAGCGUGAAAUGCAACCCAUCCACAACUUGGUGUUGUCGUCUUCCUCCUGCCACUAGAUGUGCAAGUAUGCACGUCAUGCAAGACAACAACCUGCAAAUUUUCGGUUCACGAUUUAUUAACCAACAAAACAUAAUUACAUAAUGAUUCCAAUCAAAAAAAGAAAUAACAUACCACAAUGGUCGGUAAUCCUUUCUUUUCCUCCCGUGCAUAGAUCCUCCAAGGGCAAUCACCACCUUUGCAAUAACCAACAUAUCUAGUAGUCGAAGUAACAUCGAUUCCAAGCUCAAACUCAUGCUUUAUGGCAUACUGCCUCAUAGCAAUUCGAAAUUUCUUCAUGUUCGCAAACAAAUUGCUUGGUUGCAUUGAAGGAUUUAUUUUAUCAUACUUAACUCUCUUCUCGUCAGGUAGGUAGUCUUCACAUGGUUGGUCUAUAUUGUGGUCUCCCGAAUCAAUAUGGUCCGAUUCAUCCAAAUUACUUGUACCACCUCGUAAGGCUUCAUCUCUUCUAUUUUCUUCAGCCUCGUCCUCUUCAAUAAGUCCAAGUUGAGAAUACAUCUGCAUCUCACUAGGAACAUCACGUCGCCCUUCCUCCUCUCAAGAGAAAAUUGGAAUUUUGCCAUUAUCAAACUAAGGAUUCGCUCGAAUGCCAUUAUGAGAACACGCUUCGUUAUUACGCCAUUCUAAAACACUGGCUUACAGAUAAAAUGUCAUUUAGGGGGUUAUUUGACAAAAUAUCAACUGAUUGGACUGUUUUACCCCUAAACUAAAACAACUACUCUCCUCUGCUCUCUGGACAUCCUGACGGCUCAACUUCGUUUUCUUUUCUGUCUCUCGCUCGUUUUCUUUUAUGUCUCCUCCUCUCUGCUCCUCCUCUCUGCCUCGCUCUCCCGAGCAGUUUCCCUCCUCCCACUAGCAUUUUCAGCCUGAUUUAGCUUGUUGUUUAAUAAGUUAACAUUAUCUUGGAAGUUGGAGAGCAGAAAUGAGUGGGCAAUAUGAAAAUAUUAGCUCAUUUUAUUUUUUAUACAGUCAAAUGCAAUAACUUCGUAUUAAGUAAAAAAUGAUUCAUAUCUGAAAAAGGAAAGUGUGUACCAUAAUUGAAUCCUGGCUCAGGCUGAAUUUCUCCUCCCACUCCCUCUAAGCAUUUUCUUGAGCCUCGAACUGUCCAAUUAGCUCAGCCUGCUUCUCGAGUACCCUCUCCAUCUCCCCAUCCUUCUGAUAUACCAUGGCAAGAUCAUCACGACCCUCCACUCUUCCAUUACUAGAAGAGCCAUGCCCAUCUUGGUUCACCUCGCCAUCAACAUUAGCCGUCUGAUCAGUGCAAACAGUACAAUCUGAUCUCUCAUGCCCGUCCUCCGUGCUCUCCACUGCAUUGUCGUUGCCCUCCUCUUCUUCUGUCUGAGAUCUGUCAAUCAGAAGAGCACGUGUGUGAGUGUGCCAGAUAAUUGCACAAUAACAUGCCAGCAAUUGGGAUGGAACUUGAGCAAUGAGCAACGCCCGGACCUCAGCUCCUUCCUCUUGAUCUUCCGGCAAGACUGCCCUGGGUGGUACUUGGGCGACGAAUCCGCGACGCGACAGUAAAAGUAACCCCUCCUGUGGUCGUGGCCGUGCCUCUGCCUUAGCUGCCUACCCUUGUGCUGUUGGUGCUGCGGCCGCCGCCUCUCGCAUUCCGGGCUCGCGGCGCGGCCCCUCCAUGACAAGCCCCCGGCCUGAGCAGCAGAGGCAGCAGCAGCCGCCGCCGCCGGGGCUCCCAGCUCUGACCUCGACAGCGCGUCCUCCGCUGCAUUCCCGC
This 1833-nucleotide long non-coding RNA is filed under the name Zea mays. Its description in RNAcentral is "drought responsive lncRNA". Lineage: Eukaryota; Viridiplantae; Streptophyta; Magnoliopsida; Poales; Poaceae. The record is from RNAcentral.